Molecule: ribosomal RNA, 181 nt
Filed under: uncultured bacterium
Lineage: Bacteria
Description: partial 16S ribosomal RNA
Rfam family: Bacterial small subunit ribosomal RNA
Source: RNAcentral
AGAUCUGUCCUACGGGGGCAGCAGUGAGGAAUAUUGGUCAAUGGGCGGGAGCCUGAACCAGCCAAGCCGCGUGAGGGAAGAAGGUACAGCGUAUCGUAAACCUCUUUUGUCAGGGAACAAAGGCGGGGACUAGUCCCCGGAUGAGGGUACCUGAAGAAAAAGCAUCGGCUAACUCCGUGCC